UCUGGGCUUUGCCCGGUGCGGUUUGUGUCGGUGCUUGCCUGCCCGCACGCAGGUGGCUGAGGGGACUUCCCUCCCAAAAUACCGGUCGGGAGUUAAUGCCCACCCCGGAUAGCCUCCUGCAGUCAGGACUGGAACGGAGAAUUGCCUCUGCAGGAGCGUUUCAAGGACAGAAACAGAGGAGUGGUAACUUUAUUUAGGUCAAGUUCUGGGAACAGGAUGAAGGCCUUUCAAUGAGUCAAAAGAAAUCCUGCCUCAAAAAAUGGCUGCUUGUUUCCUGUGUUCAGGGGUGAUGCCACGCUGAAGGGGACAUGUCAUCAACCAGAGAACUGUAAAAGGGAAAGCUACAGAACUGUUACUUGGCAGCUGACUAGAGUGAUGGAUGAAUUGCACAUUAUCACCUAGAAGAGCUUAUUUCCGACUUGGAGAACUAGCACUUCGUUCUAGAAUUGAGACAUAUUUUAAGCAGAAAGCAGCGUGACCUGGAUUAGAACAGUCUGAAAAUUGCAUGGAAGUCAACUGAAUCCACUCAUUUCACCACAAACACCUCUUUUCUGUAAAUUUAGUAAUAGUGUUAUCAUAUGCCAGAACAUGAAUAUGUACAACGCAUAUAUCCCUGUAGCUAACAAACUUAAGACUGUUCUACUGAGACCAAAAAUACUCAAAAAUCUGUUAAAAGUCGUAUUUACAUAACAAAUCCAGCGGGCAUCACUUUUCAUCGAGUGCUUCUAAGUCAGAUAAACAAGUUGCUGGCAGUCUUUCCUAAGUAAACAAGUUCUGUUAAGGUUUCUGUCCGUACCACUAGAGAAUGAGUGGGUUUGUGUUAUGUUUAUUAUCCUGUGUUUAUUAGUACUUGUUUUGCUGUAGCACAUCUUUGUUCAAACACUACUACCCACAUAAAUUCAAGGAAAUAGAAACCAACAUUUGAUAUAUUGAUCCAACUAAGCAUAAAAUGAGCUCUGCGUGAAUUUCACAGAAUUACUGUAGUCAUAGCUUUAGCAUCUCACUUCAUUUCAAUGUGAUUACAUCUAUAUGAUCCAUAGGGAGCAAUAAAUAAAAAGUGAUUUUUUUUUUCCCUUA
This is a long non-coding RNA of Aptenodytes forsteri (emperor penguin), 1077 nucleotides long. RefSeq lists it as uncharacterized. The record is from RefSeq and is a predicted model, not a curated record. Lineage: Eukaryota; Metazoa; Chordata; Aves; Sphenisciformes; Spheniscidae. The transcript is spliced from 3 exons.